AAAAUUUCACUUUGUCAACCAAUUGGAGGACAAUUUUGCUUGGAUCCUCAGUGGAGGACACUGGGAGGAGAGCUGACUCUUUAUCCGUUUUGGACAGUUGAACACCUCAAACGCACCACAAGAAGCAGUCUUGGCCAAACACACCACAUUGGCAAGCUGGUCAAGCCCCUUCUGAGACAGAAAGGGUGGAGCAUAAGGAUGGAGUCUGGCCCAAAGUCUCUGCUAGGAAGGGACCACAUGUGUUCUCUGUCAGGUGAGCACUUUGGCUUGAGGUUUGGUGAGUUGCAGUGUUGUGUACCUAAGGCCCUCCCCAUUAACCUGCCUCCUAGCAAAUUUAAAACCACUAUAACACAGACACAUGGGCAAAAGGAAAUUAACUAAGACCCUGCACUGACGUUCUCUUUGGAGCUCAUACCACCCUCUAAGAAGGGCUACACAUCCCCCUGUGAGAGGGCAGACUCGGCUGUGGG
RNAcentral lists this long non-coding RNA (470 nucleotides) under Callithrix jacchus (white-tufted-ear marmoset). RNAcentral describes it as "lncRNA (ENSCJAG00000084037.1)". The record is from RNAcentral. Lineage: Eukaryota; Metazoa; Chordata; Mammalia; Primates; Cebidae.